RNAcentral lists this unclassified non-coding RNA (9915 nucleotides) under Leishmania donovani. RNAcentral describes it as "gene:LdHU3.15.1480(CDS-product:protein_kinase_put ative)". The record is from RNAcentral. Lineage: Eukaryota; Euglenozoa; Kinetoplastea; Trypanosomatida; Trypanosomatidae.
AGCUAAAGGACGUGGCGGACAACGGGUAGAACUCCCCUCCUACCCCCUCCUCACCCCCCUCAACCCCGAAAACAGAAAAGAAGUAACGGCAACACGCUCGAGACCGUCUCUCAGGCAUUUGGCGAACUGGCACGCACAUGUGUAGUCGAACCCAUAAAAACACCAGAAAACGGACGAACAGAGACACUCUGCCCCCCCCCUCCUGCCCCUUCAGGCACGUGCGCAGGCAUAGAAGCAUAUGGUUCUCGGAAAAAGCAAGGGGAGACUCGACGGUAUCCCUCCGGCUCGUCAUCCACACUCACUCCUCCUCCCUACACCAUCCCCGGCGCCGUUCUCACGCACGCGCAGCAAGAGGAAGACACGAUUGAGCGCUGUCGCCAAGCGCUAGAUCUGUGGCUGCUCACCAACGCCUGUGCAGGACUGCUAGUAAAACGAGCGCGCGCCGCUUCGUUCGCGAGGCUUCCACUAGCGCACGCGUCUAUCUGUGCAUGUGCGUGGGCGUGAGUGCGCGAACGGGUGUGUGAGGCACACGGAGGAACUGCAGCUGUUGGUGAGUACAUAUCCGUUGAGGCGAGCGUUACUCGGCUCGCUUACUUACCCCCGCUCUCUCUCUCUCUCACGCGUGCGUGAAGCGCAGCACACACGCGCAUGAGCAUCCAUCUAGUAUCAUUCUCUCUCUCUUCUCCUGCCAACCCAGCGCCCUCGGCCUUUCUCUUCCCUCUGCCUCCGCACUCGUCCAUCACGAGUGCGUGUCUGCGCGGCCGUUACGGCGGCGGGCAAAGGUGUAGGAACAGCGGCUCCUUCUCUGGCACACACACGCACGCACACGGGCACUGGCUCUCCUGUGUGCGUUGCUUGCCGCCCUGUGCAGAGUGGAAGGUGUAUUUUUGUUGGCUGCCUUCAUCCCAUUUUGUGUUGUGUGUUGUGUUGAUCAAGACAACAUUUUCCGCCUUCUCUCCCGUCGCUGUGGUUUCCUUUCAUCAAGUGCGCCCUGGCGCCCUGCCCCUGUGCUUGUGCUCUUUCUUCUCUGUGUGUCUUGCCAAACGCGUGUGCCUGCCUGCCACCUUGCUCCCCUCCCCCGCCGCCGCUACCGCCGCCGCUUCCCCACCAUCCCGUGCAUCGUCGCAACGAGUGUGCGAGAGAGAGCGAGCGAAGAAACAUCGUCGCUUACGUGAUUCUCCUUUCCCGUGCUUGUGCUCUGUGCCCUCUUCUCCAGUUUUCUCUGCACAGCAUUGCGCGAAAGCAGCCGUGAUUCUCUGAGGCGCGGCGACUGGUGUCCGCAUUCUUGCUCCCUCUGUGUGCGUGUGUGUGCGGUGUCGUGUUGUCUUGCGUUUGUUGCGUUCUUCUUCUCCCGCCUUCCCCCUCCGCCGGCACGAGAGCAGCCGUGAAGUGACGCUUCUGCCCAUACGCAGCACUGUCAACGUCUCCCUCACCUCGUCACUGCGGGCAACGUGAACUGCGCCGUGAACGUGCAUAAGCAAGCACAGCGAUGGACCCUGCAGGACGUCGCCUCAGUGGAGAGCAGCAGCAGCAGCAGCAGCCGGCGGACAGGGCGAAGGCCGACGCUGACCGUGGCACGGUUGAUAUGUUGCCGCCGCUGCGUACGGAGGCGUCGCCGUUCGAGCAGGCAAGUGCGAUCACGAACAGGAGUAGCGCAGCCUCUGCGCCGCUUUCCGUAGCAGUGAAGGUCAUCCCCACGCUCGCGGCGGCUAUGUCAAGCUUGCGCGCUGGCGAUGACAACGACGGCGGCGGUGAGAAUGAGGGAGAGGAGGAGCCGUUCCUCACCAACGGCUCCAUCGCGCUGGCCGAGUUCACGAGCCUGCUGAAACCAGCAGAGAACAACAUCAUCCUCAAGGAGCACAUCAUCCACCUGCUUCGCGAUGUGGACGCCGAGGAAACGCUGAUGCGUAUCGCUCGCGCGUUGGAGGCGCAAGGGACGAACGAGACGCCGGUGAAUGUCAGUGCCACGACGUGUACGGGGUCGUCGCGCGACGUAGCAUCGUACACAAACGCAUCGCAGAGCACGGUGGCCUCGAUGAGCACGAUGCAGCGUCGGCGUUCGAGCGCCGUGUCGCGCCGAGAUGCCACCAGCCUCGAGACGCUCGCCGGUCUCUCCUUUCUGCACUCGCGGCGAGGCGCGACGUCGCCCAGUGCGCAAGAGUCCCCAUCGUCAGCGCAGCCGUCGGAGGAUGUGGCCCCGUACAACAGAUCCACGCGCGGCCUCGUUGGGCCAUUGGACACCUCCUUCAACUCCCGCUCGUCUCUCGGCACGCGCGAGGAGGAGCAGCGGCAAUCAAAGCAGCAGGACGACCCUCUGUCGGCCUUCAUGGCGGCCAGCGCCUCCCAGCUCAGCGACGCGACCCCCACGCUGCGCGAAUCGCCGGGACUUCCAACUGGCAGUCAAUGCCGAGGUCGGCGUGUCGCGGUAUCGGCGGCGCCAUGCAUGGCGCCGCCGAUGAUCGGCGAAGAUUCGCCGGCUACGGCGCUGCCGCCGCUGCGCGUUGUGCCCAAGACCUCGGCGGAAGAGCAGCAGCUGCGGCGACUACUGCGCCGCUGCCACAGCUUCUCCUCUCUCGAGGCAGACACCCUGGAGAGCGUCCUAAAGGCGAUGGACAAGGAGGUGCAUGCGGCCGGCGCGGCCAUCUUGGAGCAGGGUCAAGCGACGACGGAGAAGCUCUACCUCGUCGGCGAGGGCACGUGCGAAGCCAUCAAGAACGGCAAGUCGCUCGGCCCGCUGCAGCCGGGCGGGACCUUUGGCGAGUUGGAGCUCAUGUACAAGCAGGCCAUGUGCGCCGCAACUGUCCGGUGCGUGACACGGUGCGUGCUCUACACGCUGGAUGAGGCGAGCUACCACCGCGCUGUCAUGACGAGCGCGCUGCAGAAGCGGCGCAAGUUUGAGAAGCUGACGAUGAGCGUGCCUUUCCUGCGGUGCUUGCCGGACUUUGAGCGCAUGAAGAUUGCCGAGGCGCUUGAGACGCGGGUGUACCAGCGCGGCAAGACGAUCAUCCGCUUCGGAUCGCCUGGGAACUACAUGCACUUUAUCAUUGAGGGUGAGGUGAAGGUGGUUGGGCGGAACAGUGGCCGCCGAGUCGAGGUGGUGCGCCUGCGCGACGGCGACGUCGUCGGCGAGCUCGAGUUCCUCUUCAACCACCUCACCGUGGCAGAUGUUGUAGCGACGUCGCGCGAGGUUCGGACGGCGUGCAUCAGCCGCGAGCACUUCGAGCUUAUUAUUGGGCCUAUACAAGACCGCCUGAAGGAGUUUGUCGCCACCUCGUCCACCUACGAAAAGUAUUACGUCGCCGAGGUGGCGGACGAGAGCGUGCGCACCGAGCUCAACCGCAUCGAGUCGUCGCGCAAGCAUCGCCGCGUUGCCUCGCGCGAUCAGCGGACAGCGAUCGGGGACAUUGAUCCGCACGGAGAGGUGCUGCUAAGUGCGCCGCUGCCGCUACUCCACGGCAAGUGUGAUACUGCCGGCAAAGCUGGUGGUGUUAGUGGUGUUGUCGCCAACAGCGAUUCGGCCGCCGGGAACGGCGCCAACGCGCAGGGGCAACGCAGGGCGGCAGCGCGGGGAUCGGCCGAGCUGCCCAAGGCGAUGCUGCGGUUUCCGUUUGCACCGAUCACGGGCAAGGAUGUGGCCGUGUUGGCCCUUCGCGAGGAUGGCCUCAUCAUGUACUGGAACUCCGUGCUGGAGAGGCUGACGAGCUACUCGGCGGGGGAAGCGGUGGGGCAGAAUAUUUACUCCUUCCUUCUCUCGGAGCGGGAGCAGCAGUGCAUGUACAAGGCUGUCAACGCCGCACGCAACUACGCCGGCGAGGCGGAGGCAUUUUUGAAGCGGCCGAGCACCAAGUCGAUCCAGUUCACGCUCGCCCGCAGCGACGGUCUCACGAAGACGACCGUCCGGCUCACGAUUGUUCCGCCUGUCGUGUCGGCCGGCGGCAACGCGGCGGAGGUGGUGCUGGGCUUCGGCGAGGAGGUCAAAGAGGGGCCACAGAAGAUGUUGGAGCAGCCGCAGUGGCUCUCUGGCCAAAUUCGCGCCAUUCUGGCGGAUGGCACGCAGACUUUCGAGGAGCGGCUGGAGUGCAUCGCGGAGACUCUCAACAACUUCGAGUCCACCUACCGCGCCAUGACGGUGUCAACGGAGCGGCUGCGUGUGGUCAACAUCCGGCAAAUGAUGGGACACAUCCUCAUGGACUUUGGCAGCGAGUGCGUGAGCCGCGGCAUUUCCGUGCGGCAGCGCUUCGAAGGGCUCCCGUCAGAGCGUGCCUACCUGGACGCCAACUUGUUGCCGGAGUGUCUGCGCUACGCCAUGAAGCUGUGUCUCAAGUACAGCGACCCCGGCGGCAGCAUCAUCACCAUCAUGAUCACUGUCACAGAGAAAAACGGGCUUGAGUUUCUGGUGAUCAACUUCAACCUGACCGGCGACGGCAUGCCGAAGGCGAUCGCGCAGUUCUUCGACUCGCCGCUGAAGAAGCACGGCGACUCCGUCACCACAAUGAGCGUCGACGACGACAGCGGCGACGACAGCGACAACGACGCGGAGGCGUCAAUGGCGCUGCGAAGCACCCUGCAGCCUCGGCUGCGGCGCAAGCUGCGCCGCGUCCAGCGCGCCGUCGAGGACCAGGGCGGCACGCUGCGCAUGCUCCGCAACCCGCAAGACUCGAACAUCGCCUUUCUCAUCCCCUUUAUGCCGGCGAGCGAGCAGGACGCCGAGAAUGCCUCCAUAGAAGAGUCGCUUAGCACCUUGGCCGACUCCGCCGGCGCAGGUCAGCUGGCAUCGCUGGCGGGGAUGAGCAGCGGUGUCGGACCUCCCACCUCUGUAGCCGCAGCAGCUGCUGCCUUUAGUGUGUCGCUUGUGAACACCCCCGCGGGCGAGAGCAGUGGGCUGUCGAACAUGUCGGUGGCCGGGACCGUCGCCACGGUGUCUGGGCAACCGAACUUCAGCUACACCACCUGCCUCGCCGAGGACACGCCGACUCACCGCAUUAUGCUGUCUUCAUUUUUGUGGGAGCGCCACCACGCUGUGCUGACUGCCUUCACCUUCGAGGACAUCGUGGGCCUCGUCGGGGUCGCCGAUAUUCUCAUCAUUGACCUGCAGCAGUCCGCCAUCACCUUCCUGCACGAGCGCGACCCCAUCACGCGGCUGCGCGAGAUGCUGCGGCACAUGGCCGUCAUCAUCACCUCCACGAACUUCGACCUCGUCAGCAGCGACACGUAUGCGGCGGCCGGCUUCAUCACGCUAAAGAAGCCAUGCACCCCAGUCCAGGCCAUGAAGGCGAUCCGUCGCGCAGAGGAGAAGUCGGCCGUCGUGAAGCUGGAAAGACUGCGCAUUGAGCAGACACGUGAGACGCUGGCGCGCAACAGCCGCGGUGCCUGGCGUCACGGCGCCCUCCUCGGGAAAGGGUCUUCUGGGGAGGUGUAUGAGGCGUACGAUGUGCUGACGGGCGGCAAGAUGGCCGUGAAGGAGAUGCGGCUGGGCAAUAACGACGCGAAGAUUGAGCAGUUUGUGCAGGAGAUCAGCACGAUGUGCAACCUGCAGCACCCCAACAUCAUCCACUACUUCUACUGCGAGGAGAGCAAGGAGCAGAAGGUGAUUCGGGUGUUUAUGGAGUUCGCCGGCGGCGGCACACUGCAGUCGCUCCUCAAAACAAAGGGCCGGCUCGAGUACGCGGAGCUUCGGGCGCUGCUACGAGACGUAGUGGAGGGGCUUGCGUACAUACACUCGCAGCACUACGUCCACGGUGACAUCAAGACAGCCAACGUGCUGCUGAGCAAUGAUGGCAAGGGCAAGAUCGGUGACUUUGGCACGGCGCGGACGGUGAACGAGGGGGAGCUGCUGUACGUGAUGCAAGGCAGUCCGCUCUACAUGUCGCCCGAGUGCAUGUCGGCCGGGGAAGAGGACGAGGAUGGCAACAAAAUCGGCUACAGUUUUCCUUCCGACAUCUGGUCACUCGGCUGUGUCGCGAUGGAGAUGGCAACGAACAAGCCGCCCUUUGCGCACAUCAAGACGAUUAAGGGGCCCGCCGGCUUGACAACCUUUAUCACGUCGCUGACGGACGUCCCCGACCUGUCGCCGCUCUUCAAAUGUCACCCCUCCAUCGUGGAGUUCGUCUCCGCGUGCCUGAACCCCGACCCAAGCCAGCGUGCUACUGCGCAGGAUCUGCUGCAGAUGAGCCUCUUUAGUGAUUCGACGCAUAGCGACCGCAACUCCGCCGUGAUGGCGCUGAAGCGGGCGCAGCUGCUGCACGUGCUGAACAAGUUUGUCGCCUUCCAGGAGCCCGAAGAGGCAGAAAAGCUAGAGAAGCGGCGUAACCGCCUCAAGGUGAGUCGGCUCGCCUCUGACUUCUUCAGCUCCAGAAGCAGCUCCAGCGACAACGCGAGCGAACCGAUGUCGACGGUCUUCUUGAACGCGGCGCCUGCAGCGGAGGUCGAGGAGGCAACUCGCGAAAAGCGGCGCCCGGGUGCAGCAGUCACAACAGCGGCAGCGGCAACCGCAGCGGUAGCGGCGGGAAACGAGGACGAGUCCGACAAGGACGUCACACGACGCAGCGGCACAGUGGCGCUGGCCGCGGGCGGCACCUCCGAGAGCCCCGAUGGCGCGAGGCCUGCCGGGGCAAGCGCGGGGGCGCCACUCGUCAACACAGUCACCUCCACGGACGGCAGCUUGAAUCAAGCGGCAUCGACCUUCACGCGCUACCUGCGCAAGUGGGACUUCUCCACGAGCUCAUCCUCGUCGUCUUCACAGCUGAGUGCAAAUUCGAAGGCAAUGACGGCCGCGGGUGGCGAAGGUGCGCACCGCGACCCCGUCACAGGCGUCGCUGGCGGAAACGACGAGGCCGAGCCGGACGCGCGCAACCCACAAACGGAGGGCGCGUAUGACCUCUCCCCGACCCCGAAGAAGCGCUCCAAGACGCGGUCGCGUCCGCGAGCAACACUGACACCGCCAAUGCGGAAGCCCUCGCAUCAGCGAUGCUGCCCCGACAGCACCACCACCACCACAAACAGUGCCGAGAAAGACUUCUUCGCGACGUCGUCGGAUAACAGCAGCAGCAGCAGCAGCAGUGGCCGCGCGCUUAACGAGGCCGACGCACGCAGCGAGGCGCCCGCGCAUCAAGGCGGCACUGCACGGUUGACGGGCACUGCCACGACAGCUCGCAAGGGGCCACGGCCAACUGGCAGCGAGGCCGUUGGCUAUACCCCCAGCUUUCCUGGUCGGCGCCGCAACGUGCGGCUGGAUGAGGCCGGCAACAUCGUGCCGUUUGAUCGGCUUUCGAGCAUGAUGAGUGUGGCGGCGCUGCUGAACAACAAGGGCGAACAGCACGGAGACGACGCUUCCGCUGAAGGCAGCCCUGGAGUUGCCGCAGCGGCGGCGACCGAAGCCACCGCCGCCUCGCGCGCGCCGUUCCCCGCCCUUGGUGACGCGAACGAUCACGUGUUGAGCCCCAGCAGUGCCGCAGGCCUCGCCAACGCGUCCUUCACGCAGCCGCCGGGCAACUAUUCUUUCUUCGGCUUCAACAGGAACAUCAGCUUUAUGGGCACCAACAUGGACGAGGUGCUGAACAGCGCGGCGAAUGAUUUCCUCAGCAACCUCGCCGCGAACUGGCACACGAGCAACGCGGCGUGCGUCGAGACGGCCAGCAGCGCUGGCAGCAUGGUACAGCUGCCCUCCAGAACGUUUCUGCGUGCGGAGGGGUCUGGCAGUGGGCGAAGUCACGCGACGCUGAGCAGCAACAGAGAAGGGGAGUGUCGCACCGACCGCGUGGUCGGCGUGGCCAGCCCACUCGCGGUGACAGGGCAAAGCGAGGACCGCGGCGACGUACCGAAGACGCCAUCGCGGCGGCGGGGCGGGGCAAUAAGUCGCAGCCCCUCCGCGCGAAGUCCGCUGGAAGCGCGUGGACCGGGCGAGCCGGCAUCGAUCGAAGGCGGCAACAGUGGGGUGCAGCACGGCGGGACUACGUUGCCGCUGCCGCAGUCACCACCGCCGAAGCCGCUGUCCACCGGGGCGGCGCCCACGGCUGCCUCUCGCUCCACUCACCCUGUCUUGAGCCAGCUGGGUUCCGCCUCGUACACCUCGGACGACGGCACCACCAGCAUGACGCCGCGCGGCGACAGCGUACCGCUUGUGGGGGCUGCCGCGUCAUCGCACCGCCAGCGUCGCGCGCGGCCACCCAUAACAAACCAGUCGUUUUUCGUGGUGGAGGAUGGGUCGUCGGCGCCGCUCUUCUCCCCCCACACUGGCGUCACAAAAUCGACUGGGUCGAUGGCCGGCGGCCCUGUCUCGGCCUCUCGGGUCAGUCUCGCCACGUGGUCAAGCGUCGCCUCCGCAGACGGCAGCGUCACAGGCGGCGUGGCGGGUGAAACGAGCAGCAGCACUCUGCUGCAGCAGAACUACGCAAACGUGGCGGUGGUAGCGCCGGCGCCGGUCUUUCCCACCUUCUCGACGAGCAAUGCGCGAGCCGUGUGGCAGCAGCGGCGGCGCCACGUUGCUGGAGGCGGUCGGGGCGGCGUGGGAGGUGGCAACAUGAGCAAUAUCCACCUCACAGCACCGCCGAGCAACGAGGGCAGCGUCUACCUGAUGGUGGCCGAUGAGCAGCAAGGAGAUGGUCAGCGGUGGCGAGCGGCAGGCGCCUCCGUGAGUCGCGAGGGCAAUGACGGCGACGACGACGACCUGACCAGCGCCGCCUUCGGCUCGAUGCGCUCGGGCUUUUCGCGGCGUUCAUCGGCGCAAAGCACGUCCAACCUCACGGCCGAGACCCUCUCCGCGACUCACGAGCCGGUCUCGGAGCGACGCCCCGCCAGAAGUGGCGACGCUGCCGCAAGCGCCAGCGAAGGCCGUCGCGGCGCCGAAGUAGGAGACGCGCUGCCCUUCAGCAACCUCGCCUCCGAAGCCGACUCGAUGGUUUUCACCUAUCUGCAGCGCAUCGAUGCAUCACUGCAGGAUGUGCUGUCGCAGCUGCAGGUGCGGCGGCGCCAGUGUCGGCGAAAGAGUGGUGGCUCCAUCACUGGGGUGCAGGACGGUUUCGAUCACGCGCCGUCCUCCACCCCCAUCACGACCGUCCAAGCCACACCACCGCAGAGCGCGACGCAACUCACGACCCUUCAGAGCUCCCUCAGCUCUGCCCUGCCCUCGCCUGCGUCUGCCAACAGCACUUCGGAGGUGGCCACCACUGUGACGGUGUCCCCACAGCACCACCGCAGCACUGGAGUCAGCACCUCUCCUGCCAAGCUGCCACGUCCGCUGUCUUCCUGUACGACGCCCGUGACAAUUUCGCAAUCAAGGCAGGGCAAGCCCAACCCGCUCUCGAUGCGAGCAUCGCCGCCGCUUUCGAAGCAGUGCAGCAAUCCUCGGUGGCCAACGGAGGACGAAGCCGAGGCGGAAGGCGAUCCGGUGAACCACGAUGCCACAGUGUGGUUUGACACGCCACUCUCGCCCAGCUCGUCCGGGCACCGCGCCAGCAGCGGCUGCGACGAUGUGAAUGUAGAGGUGCUGCUGCGCAAGAUGCUGUGGCGGGUAAGUCUGCUGUUGGACGAGGUGUCGUCUUUCUCACCGCGGGGGCCAGCGACGGCGAGCGUAGCGCGGCCCCCCUAGACAGAUGCGUGCGUGUGUCUCUCGUGUUGUUGCUCUUCUUCUUUCUUGCUUGGUAUUGCUGCUGCCGUCUUGGCAUUUCCGUUCGCUCACCCCUGUCUGGCUGGGCGCUUGCGCCCACGCGUACGCACAUGGGUGCGUGCGUGUCGUGACCAGUCCCACCACCACCACCCUCCGUGCCGUUCAUCGAGUGCCCGCCUCCGAAUCGACACGCCGACACCCUCCCUUCCUCUUGCCCCUUCGGAGGGGUUUUGUUCGCGUCUUCUCGUCAGCGACACCCGAAGUCAGAUAAAUUAUGUGUGAGUAUGCAGCCGCGCACCGUGCGCGCAAAG